RNAcentral lists this ribosomal RNA (993 nucleotides) under Triticum aestivum (bread wheat). Its description in RNAcentral is "partial small subunit ribosomal RNA". The record is from RNAcentral. Lineage: Eukaryota; Viridiplantae; Streptophyta; Magnoliopsida; Poales; Poaceae.
AUGAUCGACAUGGUUGUCCGCUGUGUCCGUUGUCUCGCGCGCCGCUGGAGCCGGCGUCGAUUUGCCGUCGCUGUGCUCCGGCUCCGAGGCAGCGCCCUUCUUGGAAGAGGCGUGGCUGCUGCUGCUCUCCUGCGAUGCUGCCGCCGCGACCUCGUUGCUUGCGGCGGAGCUGCUCUGCUUCUCUGUUCCACCCGAAGCGCUGCUGGCCCUGGCGGCGAGAAUGUUGGAGAUGGUGGCGCGCAACGUCGGGUUGGGGACCAGAUCGCCCAUGCUCGCCUUGGCCCCGCACGCGCACUCGGAGUUGGUGCGACGAUGUGCGCUCGGAUGCACCGGGCGCAAAAGCUGUUGAAGCAGCACUUGCUCGCCACCACCGCGUCGGCCAUCACCUCCUUGCAAAUCCUGCAGUGGAGAUCCGCCGGGAAGCCGUCGUCGUUGCUCUCGUCGGCCGGCCUAGGAGGGGCAAGCGCAGGAGUCCUUCCGAAGUCGAAUCUGGAGUCGCCGUUUGUGGGGCAGUGCUGGAUGAAGUGGCCCGGGACACGGCACCUGUGGCACACGUACCCGGCCGGCGGCGCCCGCCCGUUGUGCGCUGCUCCACGGCCGUUGUCGAUCACCGCGCUGGUAGCUUUGGCCUGGUCGUCCUGGGUACCGGCGGACCUCGGGGCCGAAUUCGACGACGAACCACCGCUGUCUUGCCUCGAUCUAGGGCAUAGUGGGGGUGUGCCGGACGGACACAGCUCGAUGCUAUCUUCCGGAGGCACAGCCACUCGGCGCACCAUCACCGUCGAGUUGGGCAGGGCCAAGGCAUCGUCGUCCGCGUACUCGUCGCGGGUCUGCUCGUUGGAGAUCGUGAGGCUCUCCCUGGGACCCCGGCCGCGUGUCCGGCCGCGACCAUGGCGGCCUGUCUUCAUGAUAAGGCGCUUCAGCUCGCCGACGGUGAUGGAAGGCGCCGCGACGGGCAGGGAGAACGUUUCCAGGCAGUCCUUGUAUCGGUAG